This 469-nucleotide ribosomal RNA is filed under the name uncultured Bacillota bacterium. RNAcentral describes it as "bacterial SSU rRNA". It matches the Rfam family "Bacterial small subunit ribosomal RNA", at positions 439 to 896 of the family's 1533-position model. Lineage: Bacteria; Bacillati; Bacillota. The record is from RNAcentral.
UCAGGGAAGAACAAGUAUCGGAGUAACUGCCGGUACCUUGACGGUACCUGACCAGAAAGCCACGGCUAACUACGUGCCAGCAGCCGCGGUAAUACGUAGGUGGCAAGCGUUGUCCGGAAUUAUUGGGCGUAAAGCGCGCGCAGGCGGUUCCUUAAGUCUGAUGUGAAAGCCCCCGGCUCGAACCGGGGGAGGGUCAUUGGAAGCUGGGGAACUUGAGUGCAGAAGAGGAGAGCGGAAUUCCACGUGUAGCGGUGAAAAUGCGUAGAGAUGUGGAGGAACACCAGUGGCGAAGGCGGCUCUCUGGUCUGUAACUGACGCUGAGGCGCGAAAGCGUGGGGAGCGAACAGGAUUAGAUACCCUGGUAGUCCACGCCGUAAACGAUGAGUGCUAAGUGUUAGAGGGUUUCCGCCCUUUAGUGCUGCAGCAAACGCAUUAAGCACUCCGCCUGGGGAGUACGGCCGCAAGGCUG